UAAUUCCUCGGGGGCAGCAGUGAGGAAUAUUGGUCAAUGGGCGGAAGCCUGAACCAGCCAAGUCGCGUGAGGGAAUAAGGCCCUACGGGUCGUAAACCUCUUUUGCCGGGGAGCAAGGGCCGGGACGCGUCCCGGCCCGGAGAGUACCCGGAGAAAAAGCAUCGGCUAACUCCGUGCCAGCAGCCGCGGUAAUACGGAGGAUGCGAGCGUUAUCCGGAUUUAUUGGGUUUAAAGGGUGCGUAGGCGGGCUUUUAAGUCAGCGGUAAAAAUUCGGGGCUCAACCCCGUCCGGCCGUUGAAACUGGG
RNAcentral lists this ribosomal RNA (305 nucleotides) under uncultured bacterium. RNAcentral describes it as "bacterial SSU rRNA". It matches the Rfam family "Bacterial small subunit ribosomal RNA", at positions 333 to 637 of the family's 1533-position model. The record is from RNAcentral.